Daphnia pulex (common water flea) is the source of this 1604-nucleotide long non-coding RNA. RefSeq lists it as uncharacterized. The transcript is spliced from 2 exons. NCBI's taxonomy places the organism in Eukaryota, Metazoa, Arthropoda, Branchiopoda, Diplostraca, Daphniidae. The record is from RefSeq and is a predicted model, not a curated record.
UGGCGGCGAUGAAGAGAACGUCAUUAUGGGAUACUGCGACGCGGAUUUUGCUGGCGAUAUCAAUGACCGGACAUCCACCUCUGUAAAUAUCUUCUUCUUUCAUGGAGGGCCAGUGGCCUGGAGCAGUAAGAAACAUAAAUGUGUUGCGCUACCACCACCGAGGUGGAAUACGUGUCGGCCAGUGAAGCGACAAAAACAGCUGUGUGGCUGAGAACCCUACACAACGACUUCACUGGAACUAACUACAAAGUCCCGCUCUUCUGCGACAAUCAGUGCUGUGCGACUAGUUCGCAACCCGGAAUUCCAUCCACGGACAAAACAUGUUGACAACCGUUAUCAUUUUGUUCGCAAAAUGGACGAAGACGGACUCAUCGAGGUAUUGUUUGUGAAAUCUGAGAACCAAUUGGCCGAUAUCUUUACCAAGCCCCUCCCAAGGACUUCGUUUGAGAAAAACAGAGAAAAGAUUGGUGUAGGUAAAAAGUAAUAACGUUUUUUUUUCACUAUCUUGCUGUGCAAUUUUUUCUUUCUCGUCUCCGAAUCCUUCUCCUUGUCUAUUUUUUGAUACCGUGUUUGAGGGAAAGUGUAUAAUGGCAAACUCGUUAAUCAUGUCAUAAUCGGUUGUCUUCAUUUUUCCUCACAUAUCCUCUCCAUUCUAAUGUCAUGUUUGAGGGAAAGAUUUUUUAAAAAUCCCUUAUCCCGUUUAUACUACUUCUUGUUUCAUAUGUAUGUGUGUUUGAGGGAAAGUGUAAGAAUAGCAAACUACGCCAUCUAGCAGUCAAGAGGGCAACCUCCUCUCUUGACUGUUUGGUCUACUCUCUUCUUCAUGGUGACUUAUGUCAAAGUGCUCUUAUCUCCACUCUUACUUUAAUCUCUCUCCCGAACAGACUGUAAGUAGAUAGUAAGACAGAAAUUGUAUGACAUACUUGGAGUAGUUUAAAUAAAUGUCCUCAGUUAAUUGCAUAGAUAUUGUAUCAGUUUAUUUAAACUUCACAGUUGACAACCGAACAAAAAGAUAGUGUUCUAUGGAACAGGUUAAGGUAUCUUCGUAUAACAGCAUCCAACUUGUAUGCUAUUUCUCACUGCAAAACUGUAAAUGGAUCAUUAGUGGACAUAAUGCAUGGCGCAAAAUUGAGAGAGACUGCAGCUAUGUCGAGAGGAACAAGAUUAGAGUCACAAGUGCUUGAAGUUGUGUCACAAAAGCUUAAAAUGUCUUUUCUACGUUGUGGUAUCAUGUCACACCCUAAAUACCCAAUCUUCAGUGCGUCGCUAGAUGCCAUUACUGUUGAUUACACGUUAGAAAUCAAAUGCCCUUCCAACGACAAGUCUUAUUUCCAUUUAAUAGAUAGAUCUGGCAAAAUAACUCAUAAAUGUAAUGCCCAAGUCCAGUUGCAAAUGCACAUGUCCGGUAGAAAAAAAUCCUUUUUUUGUGUUGCCAGUCCUGAAUUCGAAAAAAACAAACAAGUCAAAAUUUUGCCUAUCGAUUAUGAACCAAAGUACAUUACAGCAUUAAUGGUGAAAGCUCUCAAUUUUUGGAAAAGUGCUAUUGGAAAUUUUGUUCUUGAAUAAAAAAAAUGUGAUUUUGGAAGUACACCUGUAUUGUAUCA